GCUUGAAGAUGGACUCGCGUCCGAUUAGUUAGUUGGUGAGGUAACGGCUCACCAAGACCGCGAUCGGUAGCCGGACUGAGAGGUUGAACGGCCACAUUGGGACUGAGACACGGCCCAGACUCCUACGGGAGGCAGCAGUGGGGGAUAUUGCGCAAUGGGGGCAACCCUGACGCAGCAACGCCGCGUGAAGGAUGAAGGUUUUCGGAUUGUAAACUUCUUUUAUUAAGGACGAAACUUGACGGUACUUAAUGAAUAAGCUCCGGCUAACUACGUGCCAGCAGCCGCGGUAAUACGUAGGGAGCAAGCGUUGUCUGGAUUUACUGGGUGUAAAGGGUGCGUAGGCGGCUUUGCAAGUCAGAUGUGAAAUCUAUGGGCUCAACCCAUAAACUGCAUUUGAAACUGUAGAGCUUGAGUGAAGUAGAGGCAGGCGGAAUUCCCCGUGUAGCGGUGAAAUGCGUAGAGAUGGGGAGGAACACCAGUGGCGAAGGCGGCCUGCUGGGCUUUAACUGACGCUGAGGCACGAAAGCGUGGGUAGCAAACAGGAUUAGAUACCCUGGUAGUCCACGCUGUAAACGAUGAUUACUAGGUGGGGGGGGUUUGCCCCCUUCCGUGCCGGAGGUAACACAAAAAAGUAAUCCACCUGGGGAGUAGGGCGGCAAGGUGGAAAAUCAAAGGAAUUGACGGGGGGCCGCACAAGCAGUGGAGUAUGUGGUUUAAUUUGAAGCAACGCGAAGAACCUUACCAGGUCUUGACAUCCAACUAACGAAGUAGAGAUACAUUUAGGUGCCCUUCGGGGAAAGUUGAGACAGGUGGUGCAUGGUUGUCGUCAGCUCGUGUCGUGAGAUGUUGGGUUAAGUCCCGCAACGAGCGCAACCCUUGCUAUUAGUUGCUACGCAAGAGCACUCUAAUAGGACUGCCGUUGACAAAACGGAGGAAGGUGGGGAGGACGUCAAAUCAUCAUGCCCCUUAUGACCUGGGCUACACACGUACUACAAUGGAUGUUAACAGAGGGAAGCAAGACAGCGAUGUGGAGCAAACCCCUAAAAACAUUCUCAGUUCAGAUUGCAGGCUGCAACCCGCCUGCAUGAAGAUGGAAUUGCUAGUAAUCGCGGAUCAGCAUGCCGCGGUGAAUAAAUUCCCGGGCCUUGCACU
This 1152-nucleotide ribosomal RNA is filed under the name uncultured bacterium. Its description in RNAcentral is "bacterial SSU rRNA". It matches the Rfam family "Bacterial small subunit ribosomal RNA", at positions 217 to 1387 of the family's 1533-position model. The record is from RNAcentral.